This 248-nucleotide long non-coding RNA is filed under the name Carica papaya (papaya). RNAcentral's name for it is "long non-coding RNA (CPAP_LNC001716)". Lineage: Eukaryota; Viridiplantae; Streptophyta; Magnoliopsida; Brassicales; Caricaceae. The record is from RNAcentral.
GAAAAUUUGUUGUCUGAUUAUUAAAGUGCAAAAGUAUGACAUGUGUUCUGUUACAAAGUCGAUAUGAUUUUAUGAUGGUUAUAAUGUUAUUGUUUUCAUAUGUUAUUUUCAUGAAUCUCACCGAGGUAAGUGGACAAUAAAGGUUUUUAUGUUAAUAAAUGAGUUCGUUAUAAAUUAUGCUCCAUUGAUCAUUUUUGUUUUCUACCGACCUUUACUUCUGUGGCAGUGAGAUAGUGUGAUGUCUUUAC